RNAcentral lists this ribosomal RNA (369 nucleotides) under uncultured bacterium. RNAcentral's name for it is "bacterial SSU rRNA". It matches the Rfam family "Bacterial small subunit ribosomal RNA", at positions 115 to 520 of the family's 1533-position model. The record is from RNAcentral.
GCGAGGGACCCUGCCGAGGGGUGUGGGAUAACCGGUGGAAACGCCGGCUAAUACCGCAUACGUCCUAUGGGAGAAAGAUUUAUCGCCCUUCGAGGGGCCCGCGUCGGAUUAGCUAGUUGGCGGGGUAAUGGCCCACCAAGGCGACGAUCCGUAGCUGGUCUGAGAGGAUGAUCAGCCACACUGGGACUGAGACACGGCCAGACUCCUACGGGAGGCAGCAGUGGGGAGUAUUGGACAAUGGGGGCAACCCUGAUCCAGCAAUGCCGCGUGAGUGAUGAAGGCCUUAGGGUUGUAAAGCUCUUUCGGCGGGGACGAUGAUGACGGUACCCGCAGAAGAAGCCCCGGCUAACUUCGUGCCAGCCGCCGCGG